GCCCAUGUAGCUCAGUCGGUAGAGCACUUCCUUGGUAAGGAAGAGGUCAUCGGUUCGAUUCCGAUCAUGGGCUCCA
This 76-nucleotide transfer RNA is filed under the name Comamonadaceae bacterium. Its description in RNAcentral is "tRNA-Thr". It matches the Rfam family "tRNA". Rfam says of the family: Transfer RNA (tRNA) molecules are approximately 80 nucleotides in length. Their secondary structure includes four short double-helical elements and three loops (D, anti-codon, and T loops). RNAcentral also lists the same sequence under 2 other names. Lineage: Bacteria; Pseudomonadati; Pseudomonadota; Betaproteobacteria; Burkholderiales; Comamonadaceae. The record is from RNAcentral.